AUCACCUGACCAGGCUAAUAAGAACAUUUUACAGGAUCUGGGAACUUUGUAGCUAAAAUGUUGACUACAAGACCCGUGCCUGGAAACUGCUGGUGUUCUUGGAUGUUAACUGGGAAAAGGUUUGAUGUUUAAAUGGCACCGCCAAGACACCUCAACUCAGCCUGGCGGUCAGGUAGCCUGGUCUGGAGCAGGCUAACUUAUGUGCUACUGUUUUUGUGAAACCGAAGGAUGCUUAAUUAAGCCAGAAUAUUC
Xiphophorus couchianus (Monterrey platyfish) is the source of this 252-nucleotide long non-coding RNA. RefSeq lists it as uncharacterized. Lineage: Eukaryota; Metazoa; Chordata; Actinopteri; Cyprinodontiformes; Poeciliidae. The record is from RefSeq and is a predicted model, not a curated record. The transcript is spliced from 2 exons.